This 490-nucleotide ribosomal RNA is filed under the name uncultured bacterium. RNAcentral's name for it is "bacterial SSU rRNA". It matches the Rfam family "Bacterial small subunit ribosomal RNA", at positions 28 to 523 of the family's 1533-position model. The record is from RNAcentral.
GACUAACGCUGGCGGCGUGCCUAACACAUGCAAGUCGAACGAAACAGCAAUGCUUAGUGGCAGACGGGUGAGUAACGCGUAGAUAAUGUGCCCUCUUGCGGGGGAUACCGUUUCGAAAGGAACGUUAAUACCGCAUAAAGUCCUUAGGAGGCAUCUCUUAGGGACCAAACUUCCGGGGCGGGAGGAGCAAUCUGCGUACUAUCAGCUAGUUGGUGAGGUAAUGGCUCACCAAGGCUACGACGGUUAACUGGUCUGAGAGGAUGAUCAGUCACACUGGAACUGAGACACGGUCCAGACUCCUACGGGAGGCAGCAGUGGGGAAUAUUGGACAAUGGGCGCAAGCCUGAUCCAGCCAUGCCGCGUGUGUGAAGAAGGCCCUUGGGUUGUAAAGCACUUUCAGUGGGGAGAAAGGUCUGGAACCUAAUACGUUUGGAAUUGAUGUUACCCACAGAAGAAGCACCGGCUAACUCCGUGCCAGCAGCCGCGGUAA